AACGCACCUUGCGCCCUUUGGUAUUCCGAAGGGCAUGCCUGUUUGAGUGUCAUUAAAUUCUCAACCUUUGAAACAUUGUUUCAAAGCUUGGACUGUGGAGGCUUGCCGGCAUAUUACUUGUCAGCUCCUCUUAAAUGCAUUAGCGGGACCUUUUGUUUAGGACUUGGCUCCAGUUUGGUAAUUCUAUCUAUGCUGUUGCUGUUGACCUUUGUAUGUUCUGCUUCUAAUGGUCUUCGGACUGUCUCUUCUAUGAGGCAUACAACUUUUAAGCUUGACCUCAAAUCAGGUAGGACUACCCGCUGAACUUAA
RNAcentral lists this unclassified non-coding RNA (309 nucleotides) under uncultured Ramariopsis. Its description in RNAcentral is "sequence contains ITS2". The stretch from base 1 to 52 matches the Rfam family "5.8S ribosomal RNA", at positions 103 to 154 of the family's 154-position model. Lineage: Eukaryota; Fungi; Basidiomycota; Agaricomycetes; Agaricales; Clavariaceae. The record is from RNAcentral.